GAUGAACGCUAGCGGCAGGCCUAAUACAUGCAAGUCGGACGGGAUUUGGGAGCUUGCUCCCGAUGAGAGUGGCGCACGGGUGCGUAACACGUAUGUAACCUACCUUUGUCAGGGGGAUAGCCUCUCGAAAGAGAGAUUAAGACCGCAUAACAUUACAAUGUGGCAUCACAAAGUAAUCAAAUAUUUAUAGGACAAAGAUGGGCAUGCGGAACAUUAGCUAGUUGGUACGGUAACGGCGUACCAAGGCUACGAUGUUUAGGGGAUCUGAGAGGAUGGCCCCCCACACUGGUACUGAGACACGGACCAGACUCCUACGGGAGGCAGCAGUAAGGAAUAUUGGUCAAUGGACGGAAGUCUGAACCAGCCAUGCCGCGUGCAGGAAGACGGCCCUACGGGUUGUAAACUGCUUUUGCAGGGGAAUAAACCCCGAUAUGUAUAUCGGGCUGAAUGUACUCUGAGAAUAAGGAUCGGCUAACUCCGUGCCAGCCGCCGCGGUAA
RNAcentral lists this ribosomal RNA (498 nucleotides) under uncultured bacterium. RNAcentral's name for it is "partial 16S ribosomal RNA". It matches the Rfam family "Bacterial small subunit ribosomal RNA", at positions 28 to 523 of the family's 1533-position model. The record is from RNAcentral.